This is a long non-coding RNA of Oreochromis niloticus (Nile tilapia), 261 nucleotides long. RefSeq lists it as uncharacterized. Lineage: Eukaryota; Metazoa; Chordata; Actinopteri; Cichliformes; Cichlidae. The record is from RefSeq and is a predicted model, not a curated record. The transcript has 5 exons.
GUUAUUUUCGUCACCGCAUACCAGGAGAACUGCAGGAAAAUACCUUUUAAAUCCGAAGCCGAGAUUGAGAAUAUACCUAUUCAAACCCCCGCUACAGACAAUUGGGCGGAGGAGCGAGAGAAUAUACCUAUUCAAACCCCCGCUACAGACAAUCGGACGGAGGAGCGAGAGAAUAUACCCAUUCAAACCCCCGCUAUAGACGAUAGGGCGGAGGAGCGAGAGAAUAUACCAACCGAUACAGAAAAUCAGGCGGAGGAACCA